UGAACACACAGCAAGCAGUUGAAACACUUAUAAAAAUGCAGAAAUAUGCACAGCAAAUAAUUAAAAAGCAAAGCAAAAAAAAUCACACCUUUGGCUUGGUGAAAGGCAUGGGCAGAGCCCACAACAGUGCGUCCAAAAAAAGUGGUUCAAAAGUCAGAGGAGGAAAUGUUAUAGGUGGGUUUAUCUGUAAACAUUAAAUACUAGCAUCAGAGCAAACUGAAUCUUCCCUUUCAGGACAGAGGGAGCCUUUAAUUCGAAAAGAUCGUUUUUAUUAAUGGUGUUUUGUUUAUGGACUAACUGUACGGACACAAACUGUUUGUUUAAUUGUCACCUUGCAACUAUAAGGAAGACGGAAGAAGGAGCUUCCAGUUCCAUGGUUUUAAUUUUAUUUUAUUUUUAGGUGAAUUAGAUUGUGUUUGGGUUUAAAUAACAACUUUUAUAUUAAGUGUAUUCAUUUUGUAUAUUAA
This is a long non-coding RNA of Salvia miltiorrhiza (redroot sage), 467 nucleotides long. RefSeq lists it as uncharacterized. The record is from RefSeq and is a predicted model, not a curated record. Lineage: Eukaryota; Viridiplantae; Streptophyta; Magnoliopsida; Lamiales; Lamiaceae. The transcript is spliced from 2 exons.